This 810-nucleotide ribosomal RNA is filed under the name Shouchella clausii. RNAcentral's name for it is "bacterial SSU rRNA". It matches the Rfam family "Bacterial small subunit ribosomal RNA", at positions 76 to 866 of the family's 1533-position model. Lineage: Bacteria; Bacillati; Bacillota; Bacilli; Caryophanales; Bacillaceae. The record is from RNAcentral.
AAGAGAGCUUGCUUCUGGAACGUUAGCGGCGGACGGGUGAGUAACACGUGGGCAACCUGCCCCUUAGACUGGGAUAACUCCGGGAAACCGGAGCUAAUACCGGAUAAUCCCUUUCUCCACCUGGAGAGAGGGUGAAAGAUGGCUUCGGCUAUCACUAGGGGAUGGGCCCGCGGCGCAUUAGCUAGUUGGUAAGGUAACGGCUUACCAAGGCGACGAUGCGUAGCCGACCUGAGAGGGUGAUCGGCCACACUGGGACUGAGACACGGCCCAGACUCCUACGGGAGGCAGCAGUAGGGAAUCUUCCGCAAUGGACGAAAGUCUGACGGAGCAACGCCGCGUGAGUGAGGAAGGCCUUCGGGUCGUAAAGCUCUGUUGUGAGGGAAGAAGCGGUACCGUUCGAAUAGGGCGGUACCUUGACGGUACCUCACCAGAAAGCCACGGCUAACUACGUGCCAGCAGCCGCGGUAAUACGUAGGUGGCAAGCGUUGUCCGGAAUUAUUGGGCGUAAAGCGCGCGCAGGCGGCUUCUUAAGUCUGAUGUGAAAUCUCGGGGCUCAACCCCGAGCGGCCAUUGGAAACUGGGGAGCUUGAGUGCAGAAGAGGAGAGUGGAAUUCCACGUGUAGCGGUGAAAUGCGUAGAGAUGUGGAGGAACACCAGUGGCGAAGGCGACUCUCUGGUCUGUAACUGACGCUGAGGCGCGAAAGCGUGGGGAGCAAACAGGAUUAGAUACCCUGGUAGUCCACGCCGUAAACGAUGAGUGCUAGGUGUUAGGGGUUUCGAUGCCCGUAGUGCCGAAGUAACACAUAAGCA